This 404-nucleotide ribosomal RNA is filed under the name uncultured prokaryote. RNAcentral describes it as "bacterial SSU rRNA". It matches the Rfam family "Bacterial small subunit ribosomal RNA", at positions 355 to 774 of the family's 1533-position model. The record is from RNAcentral.
UGAGGAAUAUUGGGCAAUGGGGGAAACCCUGACCCAGCGACGCCGCGUGAGGGAAGAAGGACUUAGGGUCGUAAACCUCUGUUGUGUGGGAAGAAGAGCGUGACGGUACCACACGAGGAAGUCCCGGCUAACUACGUGCCAGCAGCCGCGGUAAUACGUAGGGGACGAGCGUUGUCCGGAUUUACUGGGCGUAAAGGGCGCGUAGGCGGUCAUUUAAGUCAGCUGUGAAAUGGUUUGGCUUAACCGGAUCAUGCGGUUGAAACUGGGUGACUGGAGUGCUUGAGAGGCAAGUGGAAUUCCCAGUGUAGCGGGGAAAUUCGUAGAUAUUGGGAAUAACACCGGUGGCGAAGGCGACUUGCUGGCCAGCAACUGACGCUGAGGCGCGAAAGCCAGGGGAGCAAGCG